This 262-nucleotide ribosomal RNA is filed under the name uncultured bacterium. Its description in RNAcentral is "partial 16S ribosomal RNA". It matches the Rfam family "Bacterial small subunit ribosomal RNA", at positions 524 to 784 of the family's 1533-position model. The record is from RNAcentral.
UACGAAGGGGGCUAGCGUUGCUCGGAAUCACUGGGCGUAAAGCGCACGUAGGCGGAUUGCUAAGUCAGGGGUGAAAUCCUGGAGCUCAACUCCAGAACUGCCCUUGAUACUGGCGGUCUCGAGUCCGGGAGAGGUGAGUGGAACUGCGAGUGUAGAGGUGAAAUUCGUAGAUAUUAGGAAGAACACCAGUGGCGAAGGCGGCUCACUGGACCGGCAUUGACGCUGAGGUGCGAAAGCGUGGGGAGCAAAGCAGGAUUAAGAA